This 492-nucleotide ribosomal RNA is filed under the name uncultured bacterium. RNAcentral's name for it is "partial 16S ribosomal RNA". It matches the Rfam family "Bacterial small subunit ribosomal RNA", at positions 29 to 507 of the family's 1533-position model. The record is from RNAcentral.
AGUGAACGCUGGCGGUAGGCCUAACACAUGCAAGUCGAACGGCAGCACAGUAAGAGCUUGCUCUUACGGGUGGCGAGUGGCGGACGGGUGAGGAAUACAUCGGAAUCUACUUUUUCGUGGGGGAUAACGUAGGGAAACUUACGCUAAUACCGCAUACGACCUACGGGUGAAAGCAGGGGAUCUUCGGACCUUGCGCGAUUGAAUGAGCCGAUGUCGGAUUAGCUAGUUGGCGGGGUAAAGGCCCACCCAGGCGACGAUCCGUAGCUGGACUGAGAGGAUGAUAAGCCACACUGGAACUGGGACACGGUCCAGACUCCUACGGGAGGCACCAGUGGGGAAUAUUGGACAAUGGGCGCGAGCCUGAUCCAGCCAUACCGCGUGGGUGAAGAAGGCCUUCGGGUUGUAAAGCCCUUUUGUUGGGAAAGAAAAGCAGCAGGUUGAUACCCCGCUGUUCUGACGGUACCCAAAGAAUAAGCACCGGCUAACUUCGUG